GGCCGCCUACGUUGGGCCUAGGUGUGGGGGAAUUCCACGUUUUCCGCGCCGUAGCUAACGCAUUAAGUGCCCCGCCUGGGGAGUACGGCCGCAAGGCUAAAACUCAAAGGAAUUGACGGGGGCCCGCACAAGCGGCGGAGCAUGCGGAUUAAUUCGAUGCAACGCGAAGAACCUUACCAAGGCUUGACAUGUGCUAGAUCGCCAUAGAAAUAUGGUUUCCCCUUUGGGGCUGGUUCACAGGUGGUGCAUGGUUGUCGUCAGCUCGUGUCGUGAGAUGUUGGGUUAAGUCCCGCAACGAGCGCAACCCUCGUUCUAUGUUGCCAGCACGUUAUGGUGGGGACUCAUAGGAGACUGCCGGGGUCAACUCGGAGGAAGGUGGGGACGACGUCAAAUCAUCAUGCCCCUUAUGUCUUGGGCUUCACGCAUGCUACAAUGGCCGGUACAAUGGGUUGCGAUACUGUGAGGUGGAGCUAAUCCCAAAAAGCCGGUCUCAGUUCGGAUUGGGGUCUGCAACUCGACCCCAUGAAGUCGGAGUCGCUAGUAAUCGCAGAUCAGCAACGCUGCGGUGAAUACGUUCCCGGGCCUUGUACACACCGCCCGUCAAGUCACGAAAGUUGGUAACACCCGAAGCCGGUGGCCUAACCCCUUGUGGGAGGGAGCCGUCGAAGGUGGGACUGGCGAUUGGGACUAAGUCGUAAAAGGGUAACCA
Molecule: ribosomal RNA, 709 nt
Filed under: uncultured Arthrobacter sp.
Lineage: Bacteria; Bacillati; Actinomycetota; Actinomycetes; Micrococcales; Micrococcaceae
Description: bacterial SSU rRNA
Rfam family: Bacterial small subunit ribosomal RNA
Source: RNAcentral